UAUUAUUUCCAUAUAUUGCUUUUAAAGUGGAAAAUACAUUUGUUUUUCUCUCAUAGAAGGAUCCAUGUUGCUUUAAUUGCCCUAUUGGCACAAUUAUUUCGCACAAGAAGGCUUCUUAAACUUGCAUUAUAUCUUCCUGACUUCUCAAAUCAUUCUAUUAAACUCGGGGGAAAUGAGCACAGUUGAGGCAUAGCCGAGGGAAAGGUUAGUUCGGAGAUAAAAUCGAAAUUCGACGGAAUAACGUCACGGAGCGUGUCAAUGUUGACAAGUGGCGUCGAACGAACAGUAAGAAAAAAUCGGCCUUGACACAAGAACGCGAUUGGAUCUUCACGUCGAGCCCGACGAUUCGGUUUGUUGGAUAAGGCAACGUUCCGUUAAGGUUAAUUCGCUCUCGGUGGUACACAUUGAACCGUCGUUUCCCCGAUCAAGUUCUCUCUUUCUCUCUGCCGCGAUGAUCGCUCGCCCGCGGCGAGUUUUGUUUAUUACCUGAAUCUCGUCGGCGAUCUCUUGCUCGGUUUUUGCGCGCUUUACGUCGGAGUCGGGGCGCUCUGCCCGACGUUUCUCCAGCGUCGUCGUCGUCGUCGCCGUCGUCGGUGAAAGGGCGGCGAGAAUCGACGGCGGUUGGCGCGCGUAGAACAAUACACGCGUGUGCGCGUAAAAAAAUACUCGACGCCCUCGACGGAAUCACGGAAAUUCCAAUGAAUUCCAAACAACCUUUUCUAAACGGAACUCCGUAAAAAGUGUCCGUUACCGCGCGCGCUGUACCGUACUUUGCGUUGAUACCACUGUUU
Molecule: long non-coding RNA, 791 nt
Organism: Monomorium pharaonis (pharaoh ant)
Lineage: Eukaryota; Metazoa; Arthropoda; Insecta; Hymenoptera; Formicidae
Exons: 4
Source: RefSeq, a predicted model, not a curated record